AUCUUGCAUCCCGAACCCUUUAGUGGGUGCCAACCGAGCAGAGAAGCCACGGUGGCAAAACGAUGCGGGCAUUAUGCCAAAACAUAUUCCGAGACA
This 96-nucleotide non-coding RNA is filed under the name unclassified sequences. RNAcentral's name for it is "SAM-I-IV sequence". It matches the Rfam family "SAM-I/IV (S-adenosyl methionine) riboswitch aptamer". From Rfam's summary of the family: It is found upstream of a number of genes which code for proteins involved in methionine or cysteine biosynthesis. It has been found mostly in the order Actinomycetales. The record is from Rfam by way of RNAcentral.